RNAcentral lists this ribosomal RNA (453 nucleotides) under uncultured bacterium. RNAcentral describes it as "bacterial SSU rRNA". It matches the Rfam family "Bacterial small subunit ribosomal RNA", at positions 917 to 1382 of the family's 1533-position model. The record is from RNAcentral.
GGACCCGCACAAGCAGCGGAGCGUGUGGUUUAAUUCGAUGCGACGCGAAGAACCUUACCUAGGUUUGACAUGGCUCUGGUAGCGAAGGGAAACCUAAGCGACCCGCAAGGGAGGAGUCACAGGUGCUGCAUGGCUGUCGUCAGCUCGUGUCGUGAGAUGUUGGGUUAAGUCCCGCAACGAGCGCAACCCUCGGCGUAUGUUUUACAUGUCAUACGCAACUGCCCGCCAUAAGCGGGAGGAAGGUGGGGAUGACGUCAAGUCAGCAUGGCCUUUAUAUCUAGGGCGACACACACGCUACAAUGGCGCGUACAAUGGGCGGCGAGUGGGCGACCACAAGCAAAUCUCUUAAAGCGCGUCUUAGUUCGGAUUGGAGUCUGCAACUCGACUCCAUGAAGGCGGAGUUGCUAGUAACCGCGCGUCAGCCAUAGUGCGGUGAAUGCGUUCCCGGGUCUU